GUCAGCUAAAUCCUUACUGGAGAAUAUACCAAAUAAUCAAAUUAAUACAUCUAAGGGUUCUCUAUAAUCCGCAUCAUAUACAAGAUCGAUUAUGUGUAGGAUCACCAAAACACUAUCAAUUUAGGAGAUAUCUAUAAAACAUAUUGCAUCCAGGUCGGUUGAUGGCAGGAAUACCAAAGAGCUAGCAAUUAGAGGAACAUUUACAAGUCAACUCUUAUCCAAGG
This 224-nucleotide long non-coding RNA is filed under the name Capsicum annuum. RNAcentral describes it as "long non-coding RNA (CANN_LNC002621)". The record is from RNAcentral. Lineage: Eukaryota; Viridiplantae; Streptophyta; Magnoliopsida; Solanales; Solanaceae.